GCUGCAACUCGCCUACAUGAAGCUGGAAUUGCUAGUAAUCACAGGUCAGCAUACUGUGGUGAAUACGUUCCCGGGCCUUGUACACACCGCCCGUCACACCAUGAGAGUUGAGAAUACCCGAAGUCCAUGUCAAAGUGGCCGAAGGUAGGCUUGAUGAUUGGGGUGAAGUCGUAACAAGGUACC
This 183-nucleotide ribosomal RNA is filed under the name uncultured bacterium. RNAcentral's name for it is "partial 16S ribosomal RNA". It matches the Rfam family "Bacterial small subunit ribosomal RNA", at positions 1304 to 1500 of the family's 1533-position model. The record is from RNAcentral.